RNAcentral lists this ribosomal RNA (301 nucleotides) under uncultured bacterium. RNAcentral's name for it is "partial 16S ribosomal RNA". It matches the Rfam family "Bacterial small subunit ribosomal RNA", at positions 509 to 807 of the family's 1533-position model. The record is from RNAcentral.
CAGCAGCCACGGGAAUACGUAGGGUGCAAGCGUUAAUCGGAAUUACUGGGCGUAAAGCGUGCGCAGGCGGUUUGUUAAGACAGAUGUGAAAUCCCCGGGCUCAACCUGGGAACUGCAUUUGUGACUGGCAAGCUAGAGUGUGGCAGAGGGGGGUGGAAUUCCGCGUGUAGCAGUGAAAUGCGUAGAUAUGCGGAGGAACACCGAUGGCGAAGGCAGCCCCCUGGGCCAACACUGACGCUCAUGCACGAAAGCGUGGGGAGCAAACAGGAUUAGAUACCCCUGUAGUCCCUGUCUCUUAUAC